GCAGUCGAGCGGACAGAUGGGAGCUUGCUCCCUGAUGUUAGCGGCGGACGGGUGAGUAACACGUGGGUAACCUGCCUGUAAGACUGGGAUAACUCCGGGAAACCGGGGCUAAUACCGGAUGCUUGUUUGAACCGCAUGGUUCAAACAUAAAAGGUGGCUUCGGCUACCACUUACAGAUGGACCCGCGGCGCAUUAGCUAGUUGGUGAGGUAAUGGCUCACCAAGGCAACGAUGCGUAGCCGACCUGAGAGGGUGAUCGGCCACACUGGGACUGAGACACGGCCCAGACUCCUACGGGAGGCAGCAGUAGGGAAUCUUCCGCAAUGGACGAAAGUCUGACGGAGCAACGCCGCGUGAGUGAUGAAGGUUUUCGGAUCGUAAAGCUCUGUUGUUAGGGAAGAACAAGUGCCGUUCAAAUAGGGCGGCACCUUGACGGUACCUAACCAGAAAGCCACGGCUAACUACGUGCCAGCAGCCGCGGUAAUACGUAGGUGGCAAGCGUUGUCCGGAAUUAUUGGGCGUAAAGGGCUCGCAGGCGGUUUCUUAAGUCUGAUGUGAAAGCCCCCGGCUCAACCGGGGAGGGUCAUUGGAAACUGGGGAACUUGA
Molecule: ribosomal RNA, 605 nt
Filed under: Bacillus sp. FJAT-4492
Lineage: Bacteria; Bacillati; Bacillota; Bacilli; Caryophanales; Bacillaceae
Description: bacterial SSU rRNA
Rfam family: Bacterial small subunit ribosomal RNA
Source: RNAcentral